Molecule: long non-coding RNA, 781 nt
Organism: Magnolia sinica
Lineage: Eukaryota; Viridiplantae; Streptophyta; Magnoliopsida; Magnoliales; Magnoliaceae
Exons: 3
Source: RefSeq, a predicted model, not a curated record
UUUGAUCUGGUGCAACUUGUGAAACGAUGUCUAGAUUUUGUUCAACAACAAGGCUUGAAGAAUGUGGUGCUAUUAAUGCAGCUUUUGUGGAGGCCAUCAGGCCCCAUGUUCUAGCACUCCGGAGCAGCCCUUAUGGGAAGAAAGUCCUUUCAAGCAACAGCCUGAAGAAGUAAUUUAUGCUGUUUCAGGAAGUUCUGCAAGCUUCAAGGGAAUCCUGUAUGUACUAAUGCAAAUGAAGUCAACAUAAUCAAGUUCUGUGGGUCUCAGAAUGGAAAUGGAGUGACACCUGGAGGCUCAACAAACGCCACACCCAUUUGUCCCACUCUAGCAUGCCAUGCAGAUUUCAAUUUUGAAUGUUUCAGAAUCUUGUCUUUUUUUUUUUUUAAUGAAUUAAAAGUCUCUCGUGGUGCUUGUGAAGAAGAACCUACAGGAAAUCUGUCGAAUUUUCAGAAACCUUUCGGGCAUGAUCCAAGCCUUGCAUGCUGAACUUCUAGAAGAAAGGCAUUGUGCGACAUUUGAAUGACAUGGGUGAUUCAGAAACUCUCAUCCAUGAGCCAUAGGUGUGCUUUUUCCUAACUUUUCAAACUGACAAUUUGCUUCCCAAAUUUUUCCAUAUCUGGGUUUUGUUGGUUUGAAUUGCAAUUUGGUUUGGACCCAUGUGUGCAGGAGUCCUCUUUGCUAGUAGAAAAUGAUGAAAAGAACUCGGUUGGUAAUUUCAAGAGCCCCAUGGAUGCUAACAAAAAGCGUAAAAGACGAAGUAUUGCCAGAUUGGCAAAGGUAA